CCUACGGGUGGCAGCAGUGGGGAAUAUUGGACAAUGGGCGAAAGCCUGAUCCAGCCAUGCCGCGUGUGUGAAGAAGGCCUUCGGGUUGUAAAGCACUUUCAGUGGGGAAGAAAGCCUUGGGGCUAAUACCCUCGAGGAAGGACAUCACCCACAGAAGAAGCACCGGCUGACUCCGUGCCAGCAGCCGCGGUAAUACGGAGGGUGCGAGCGUUAAUCGGAAUUACUGGGCGUAAAGCGCGCGUAGGCGGUCUGAUAAGCCGGUUGUGAAAGCCCCGGGCUCAACCUGGGAACGGCAUCCGGAACUGUCAGGCUAGAGUGCAGGAGAGGAAGGUAGAAUUCCCGGUGUAGCGGUGAAAUGCGUAGAGAUCGGGAGGAAUACCAGUGGCGAAGGCGGCCUUCUGGACUGACACUGACGCUGAGGUGCGAAAGCGUGGGUAGCAAACAGGAUUAGAUACCCUGGUAGUC
This 465-nucleotide ribosomal RNA is filed under the name Vreelandella stevensii. Its description in RNAcentral is "partial 16S ribosomal RNA". It matches the Rfam family "Bacterial small subunit ribosomal RNA", at positions 338 to 795 of the family's 1533-position model. The record is from RNAcentral. Lineage: Bacteria; Pseudomonadati; Pseudomonadota; Gammaproteobacteria; Oceanospirillales; Halomonadaceae.